GAUGAACGCUGGCGGCGUGCCUAAUACAUGCAAGUCGAGCGAAUGACGAGGAGCUUGCUCCUCUGAUUUAGCGGCGGACGGGUGAGUAACACGUGGGUAACCUGCCUGUAAGACGGGGAUAACUCCGGGAAACCGGAGCUAAUACCGGAUGAUAACGAGAAGCGCCUGCUUCUUUUUUGAAAGUCGGUUUCGGCUGACGCUUACAGAUGGGCCCGCGGCGCAUUAGCUAGUUGGUGAGGUAACGGCUCACCAAGGCGACGAUGCGUAGCCGACCUGAGAGGGUGAUCAGCCACACUGGGACUGAGACACGGCCCAGACUCCUACGGGAGGCAGCAGUAGGAAAUCUUCGGCAAUGGACGAAAGUCUGACCGAGCAACGCCGCGUGAGCGAUGAAGGCCUUCGGGUCGUAAAGCUCUGUUGUCAGAGAAGAACAAGUACCGGAGUAACUGCCGGUACCUUGACGGUACCUGACCAGAAAGCCACGGCUAACUACGUGCCAGCAGCCGCGGUAA
This 512-nucleotide ribosomal RNA is filed under the name uncultured bacterium. RNAcentral describes it as "partial 16S ribosomal RNA". It matches the Rfam family "Bacterial small subunit ribosomal RNA", at positions 28 to 523 of the family's 1533-position model. The record is from RNAcentral.